AUUGAGCGCUGGCGGCAGGCUUAACACAUGCAAGUCGAGCGGAGAUGAGGUGCUUGCACCUUAUCUUAGCGGCGGACGGGUGGGUAAUGCUUAGGAAUCAGCCUAUUAGUGGGGGACAGCAUUCUGAAAGGAAUGCUAAUACCGCAUACGUCCUACGGGAGAAAGCAGGGGAUCUUCGGACCUUGCGCUAAUAGCAGAGCCUAAGUCGGGUGAGCUAGUUGGUGGAGUAAAGUCCUACCAAGGCGACGAUCUGUAGCGGGUCUGAGAGGAUGGUCCGCCACACUGGGACUGGGACACGGCCCAGGCUCCUACGGGAGGCAGCAGUGGGGAAUAUUGGACAAUGGGGGGAACCCUGAUCCAGCCAUGCCGCGUGUGUGAAGAAGGCCUUAUGGUUGUAAAGCACUUUAAGCGAGGAGUGGGCUACUGAGACUAAUACUCUUGGAUAGUGGACGUUACUCGCAGAAUAAGCACCGGCUAACUCUGUGCCAGCAGCCGCAGUAA
This 501-nucleotide ribosomal RNA is filed under the name uncultured bacterium. RNAcentral's name for it is "partial 16S ribosomal RNA". It matches the Rfam family "Bacterial small subunit ribosomal RNA", at positions 30 to 523 of the family's 1533-position model. The record is from RNAcentral.